GUUUUUAUAGUUGAAUAACAACGAUGAUUUUUCAGGUCAUUGGUCUUGGUUAAAACCCAGGUAGGAACU
This 69-nucleotide transfer RNA is filed under the name Lycothrissa crocodilus (sabretoothed thryssa). Its description in RNAcentral is "tRNA-Glu". It matches the Rfam family "tRNA". Rfam says of the family: Transfer RNA (tRNA) molecules are approximately 80 nucleotides in length. Lineage: Eukaryota; Metazoa; Chordata; Actinopteri; Clupeiformes; Engraulidae. The record is from RNAcentral.